GCAGGCCCAGGCAAACUGAGGUAAAGCGAUUCCUAUUGCGUCCCCUGCCCUCCGAAGGCAAAGGUCACACGUUCGAAUCGUGUCGGGUGCGCCA
This 94-nucleotide transfer RNA is filed under the name Phenylobacterium sp. Its description in RNAcentral is "tRNA-Arg". The record is from RNAcentral. Lineage: Bacteria; Pseudomonadati; Pseudomonadota; Alphaproteobacteria; Caulobacterales; Caulobacteraceae.